Canis lupus familiaris (dog) is the source of this 887-nucleotide long non-coding RNA. RefSeq lists it as uncharacterized. The transcript has 3 exons. Lineage: Eukaryota; Metazoa; Chordata; Mammalia; Carnivora; Canidae. The record is from RefSeq and is a predicted model, not a curated record.
GAGGUCAUAACAGAAGUUUAUGCAAAAUUCUAUAGCUUACAAUUAGGGGAAGCACUAUGGAAACAUCUAGAUAAAUGUGAGAAGAUCAAGAAUAUUAGAAGGACAGCAGGACCCUCUCCCAGGACAGCACCAGGUCUUGUAAACCGUUGACCACGAUGUAGAGGACCACGAUGUAAAGGACCAGGGAAAAGGAGAAGACAUCUCCAAGACUGAGCAUUUACCCAGAAAGAAUGAGUCACCAGUUCCUGACAAGAUGGCAAACUAGCAUAAGCUGCUAGCUUCCUCGCCCAAAAUUAAUGUUGGAGAGUCUACAGCAGAGAAAAUAAGUCAUGUAUCUGAGGCUCUAAACAUAAAACUGUGAGAAAUCCCUGGGAGACAGAAGGCUCCUGACAACUGAGAAUAGUUGUGUGUGUGAAAGGGACAGGCCCCGAGAGUGGACAACCUGGGGCAAACUGAUGGAAUCACCGCAGAGAGAGACUAAUAGCUCUGUGUCGGAGCUUCUGGAAAGAAGCAGAAGGCCAAUGGCAGAGCCUCUGCCCUGGCCUGGAAUCCUGAGCUGCUGGACCUUGAACCCUGCCCGCCUCACGGUGGUGGAGACGGAGGCCGCCUGAGGCUGAGGGCCCGGGCUGCCAGGGCCGGGGGGAGGGCGGGCAGCCCCUGGAGGGUGCUUUCCGAUAAAAAGUCAGCGGGCCAGAGAGAUGGGCGGGAGGGACUCCUUCCUUCCCAGACACCCCCACGUCUGCCUGGCCAGACAGAUGGGCCUUCCUCUGGGCUUUAUAGAUUAAUGCGUCCUUCUUAUCAAUUAUGGAGACAAGAAAGUGUAAUUUUCUCCCCAUGUUUAUACUGUUCAGGAUUAAUCUGCCUGUAAAUGGAUAAUCUGUCAGCUU